This 1708-nucleotide ribosomal RNA is filed under the name Amia calva (bowfin). RNAcentral describes it as "bacterial LSU rRNA". It matches the Rfam family "Bacterial large subunit ribosomal RNA", at positions 1223 to 2925 of the family's 2925-position model. The record is from RNAcentral. Lineage: Eukaryota; Metazoa; Chordata; Actinopteri; Amiiformes; Amiidae.
AUGCGGUAGAGGAGCGUUCUGUAAGCCUGUGAAGGUGCGUUGUAAGGCGUGCUGGAGGUAUCAGAAGUGCGAAUGCUGACGUGAGUAGCGUUAAUGGGGGUGAAAAGCCUCCACGCCGUAAGCCCAAGGUUUCCUGUUCAACGUUCAUCGGAGCAGGGUGAGUCGGCCCCUAAGGCGAGGCAGAGAUGCGUAGCCGAUGGGAAGCAGGUUAAUAUUCCUGCACCGUCGUAUGAUGCGAUGGGGGGACGGAUCGCGGAAGGUUGUCUGACUGUUGGAAUAGUCAGUUUCUGCUUCAUAGAAGGCACUUAGGCAAAUCCGGGUGCGUAAUUCAAGGGAGUGGGACGAGCGGCCUUGUGCUGCGAAGCAAUCGGAAGUGGUUCCAAGAAAAGCCUCUAAGCUUCAGUCAUACGAGACCGUACCGCAAACCGACACAGGUGGGCGAGAUGAGUAUUCUAAGGCGCUUGAGAGAACUCGGGAGAAGGAACUCGGCAAAUUGGUACCGUAACUUCGGGAAAAGGUACGCCCUUGUAGUUUGACCACUUUACUGUGGAAGGAUGAACGGGUUGCAAUAAACUGGUGGCUGCGACUGUUUAAUAAAAACACAGCACUCUGCAAACACGAAAGUGGACGUAUAGGGUGUGACGCCUGCCCGGUGCUGGAAGAUUAAAUGAUGGGGUGCAAGCUCUUGAUUGAAGUCCCAGUAAACGGCGGCCGUAACAAUAACGGUCCUAAGGUAGCGAAAUUCCUUGUCGGGUAAGUUCCGACCUGCACGAAUGGCGUAACGAUGGCCACACUGUCUCCUCCCGAGACUCAGCGAAGUUGAAAUGUUUGUGAUGAUGCAAUCUACCCGCGGCUAGACGGAAAGACCCCAUGAACCUUUACUGUAGCUUUGCAUUGGACUUUGAACCAAUCUGUGUAGGAUAGGUGGGAGGCUUUGAAGCGGGGACGCCAGUUCUCGUGGAGCCAUCCUUGAAAUACCACCCUGGUUUGUUUGAGGUUCUAACCUUGGUCCGUUAUCCGGAUCGGGGACAGUGCAUGGUAGGCAGUUUGACUGGGGCGGUCUCCUCCUAAAGUGUAACGGAGGAGUUCGAAGGUACGCUAGGUACGGUCGGACAUCGUGCUAAUAGUGCAAUGGCAUAAGCGUGCUUAACUGCGAGACCGACAAGUCGAGCAGGUACGAAAGUAGGACAUAGUGAUCCGGUGGUUCUGUAUGGAAGGGCCAUCGCUCAACGGAUAAAAGGUACUCUGGGGAUAACAGGCUGAUACCGCCCAAGAGUUCAUAUCGACGGCGGUGUUUGGCACCUCGAUGUCGGCUCAUCACAUCCUGGGGCUGAAGCCGGUCCCAAGGGUAUGGCUGUUCGCCAUUUAAAGUGGUACGUGAGCUGGGUUUAAAACGUCGUGAGACAGUUCGGUCCCUAUCUGCCGUGGACGUUUGAGAUUUGAGAGGGGCUGCUCCUAGUACGAGAGGACCGGAGUGGACGAACCUCUGGUGUACCGGUUGUCACGCCAGUGGCAUUGCCGGGUAGCUAUGUUCGGAAUAGAUAACCGCUGAAAGCAUCUAAGCGGGAAACUAGCCUCAAGAUGAGAUCUCACUGGGACCUUGAGUCCCCUGAAGGGCCGUCGAAGACUACGACGUUGAUAGGUUGGGUGUGUAAGCGCUGUGAGGCGUUGAGCUAACCAAUACUAAUUGCCCGUGAGGCUUGACCUA